This 526-nucleotide long non-coding RNA is filed under the name Nicotiana benthamiana. RNAcentral describes it as "long non-coding RNA (NBEN_LNC009776)". The record is from RNAcentral. Lineage: Eukaryota; Viridiplantae; Streptophyta; Magnoliopsida; Solanales; Solanaceae.
CCUUCUAAUAGUUAAGCAGGCACAAUAACCCAACCUUUUUCACUAACCAAUACCCGAUGUUUAUUAUAACUUAUUAUAGACCAAAUAAAGAAUUACAUAAAAAAGUGUAAAAGAAGAAGUUACAACCAGAGGAAGCCUGAUUCUUGAUUUCCUCCAUGAGUUAUGGAAUAAACCACCGGAAAUGCCAUUUGUUUCAGAGCCUUUCUCAAACUUGAGUGUGUCAAAGUUCCCUAAGGGUCUCAAGGGACCACGAACAAUGCUUACACCCAAGUUUGCAUAACCAGAUAGAGAUAAGUGUGGUGUGGAAGGGCCAGCCCUUAUGUGUCCAAUUUCAGAGGGAUCUCAUGGAUCCCAAGGAAAGGCUCAAACACGAGGGGAUAAGUCUAAGAGUACAAUGGAAGUGCAGAAAUAGAGAUCUAAAACUUAGUUGAGAAUAGAGAGGGCUAAGGGUGAUUGAAAAAUAGUGGUAGUAAAGUUAACACUACAUAGAAUCAACAUUUUUGCACAAAGGGGUCAGGGGUUUGGG